Lucilia cuprina (Australian sheep blowfly) is the source of this 2595-nucleotide long non-coding RNA. RefSeq lists it as uncharacterized. The record is from RefSeq and is a predicted model, not a curated record. The transcript is spliced from 2 exons. NCBI's taxonomy places the organism in Eukaryota, Metazoa, Arthropoda, Insecta, Diptera, Calliphoridae.
AAAAUAAAAUUCCCAAUAUUUAGAUGUUUUCUAUUUAAUAGUAGAGGUUAUCGAUUUUUAAUUUUACAAAGUAUAGAAACAACAAUCCAUACUACAUACAUAUGUAAUUUGUUUACUUUCUCUCAGCAAUUGCGAUGUAUCGUCCGUCAGUCGUGAUUUUUAUAGAUAUAUUCACCACCAAAUAGUUUGUGUUUUCGCCUUGAAUUCGUUGGAUUUGUUUUUCAUUGCGCAUUCGAAUCGCAGCGUCAGCAAAAGAGGUCGCGUCGCGAGGUGUCUUCGUCUUAGCAACGCACGGUUCGAACAUGUUCUAAUUUAGAAAAAAAUCAUUUAAAACGCCCUCAAAUUUCUGCAAAUAUAAAUACUAAGCAAAAUGUCGUUUUAAAUACUAACAAUUGUGCAAAACUUUAAAGAAUUUAACUGCGAAAAGAUCAUAAAUUAAAAAAUUGAAAUAUGUGUUUCCUUUGACUAAAGUACAUCGCAUCAUAUAUAGCAGCCCCCCAAAUAAAAAAUUGCAUAACAGCGUCAGUAGAUGUGUGUAUUUUGUGUAUGGUGUGUAUGUGUGCGUUAAUGAAUAAAAACAACAGAAAUAGCAAGAAAAUAGAAGAGAGCGAGAGAGUUUAUAUUAUGUAUUCGGUUUGUCACGAAGAAACAAUAAUAUAAACAACAAAAAUAGAAAACAGUAAAUUUAAAGAAGGGUGUGUUAGUGUGUGUAUGUGGAAAUGUUUUUACAAACAAAAUAAAUUCACCACUAUUACAACAAAACUAACAUUUAUUAUUUUACCACACCACCUUAGCAACUGCUAAAUAAAUUUAUACAGAACUAUCUAAUGCUACGUAUAACUAGCAUUUGAAUGUAUCUAGCAGAGUAUUAAUCUACUUACUUAUUCAUAUACAGCAACAACACAAAAUAAACAUAAUAAAUAUCCGUCCAGUGUUUUAAGAAGCGUAUUUACUUCUCCCUGUAUCUAAAUACAUUCAUACUUAUUUAGAUACAAUUAUAUAGAUACUCUACAUAUGUACAUAUGUAUAUAUGUAUGUAUAUAUUUAUUAUGAAUCUGCAUAAGUUAAACAUGCAUCUGAGUGUGUGUGUGCGUGAAUGUUUGUUUUGAUUCACACAAAUAGAAAAAUAAAAUAAAAAGUCUGUGUAGUGCAAGUUAUUCAAAAAAAUUAAAAAAAAAAAUAAUUAAAAACAAAAGAAGUCCAUGAAGCCCCGCUUUAUAAUGUCAAAAGUGUAAAUAUUUAAACAAUACAACGCAAUUUUAUAGGAUUUUUUAUACAACACAUUUUAAAAUAUUCGAAUAAUAUAAAUUGGGGAUAAUAAGAUUUAAUUUGACAACAUUCAAUUUAUGUACUAACUAAAACCCACCGGUAAAAUAUUAAUUGCAAAAUCAGCAACGUGGAAUUGGAUUUGCAACAAAUAAAAACAAAAAUCCAACAAUUCGACCGUAGUACCAAUAAUACACCUUAUAAACAAAAUAAACUUAAAGAGAAGCACAAAAAUUGGCAAAGCAACAAUGAUGGCGCAAACCAAAAGUUAGGAAACCACAAUUUCAAACAUAAUCAUAAAACAUCAUUAUCAUCAUCGAAGUCUUAAUCAUAAUGCUCCACAACAGCAAUAGAAAAUAAGCAGCCAAGCAGGCAAAGAACAACAACAAAACAAUUAAAAUAAAAAAAACUUGAACAUAUGAAGUUGAAGAAGUUGCAUUUUAAAAUUCACCACAACCGUUCUUUCAGGUGUAAUAAACAAUACACUCUCACAUAUUCAUAGAUACAAAUGAGAGAGAGCUGCAUUUUUAAGAGAAAUAUCAAGUGAGAGUUGGACAUAAACACCUUAAAAACAGUGUAUCUGGUUGUUUACAUGAAGCGGUCAAAAGAAAGGUAGAAAUAUAAAAAACAUACUGCCUGGCCGUCUGGAUGUGUUCGUAUAAGUUGCGGCGAUAGCAAAAAAGAAGGUAAAACAAAGCAGAAAUCAAAAAACAUAGAGCGAAGUAUAAAAGCCAAAUUAGAAUUAGCAACGUAACCAACAGUAUUUAAAAACUACAACAAAAGCUGAAAUUCAAGUAACAAACGCCUAGCGUUAAAAAGAGACAUCAAUAUUGUAAUAAAUACAACGUCAACAAACCAACACCAAUACACACGUACAACGUAAUUCACCACUUGGUAAACGUUCCAGAGAGAGAGUGUGAAAGAGAAGAAUAACAAGUCAAGUUAAUAACAGAAUCGCAUAGAACAGGCAAAAAGAAACAACUACAGUCAACCAUCAAAACCAACUCGCAAUAGAACAAACAGCUAACGAGGAGCAAAUCGACCGACCGAGCGACCAAACGUCGGACAUAAGUUUUGUUUUUUGUGCGGUCGAAGAGCAAAUAACGCAGCAAUUGUCGGCGAUUCCGCAGUCUGCUUUAGAAGGGACAUGGCCGUCUUUUUGCUCAACAUUUGUAAAUUUAAUGGCUGCGGAAUCACAUUUCCAAGUUUGGGUGAUUUAAUCCAACACAUUGAGGACACACAUAUUGGUAAGUUGAAAUAUCAAUAUGUAUGUACAUUUAUGUAUUGAUGUAUCUAUGUUGUUUUAGAAUAUAAAUGUGUGUGUGUGUG